Callithrix jacchus (white-tufted-ear marmoset) is the source of this 84-nucleotide small nucleolar RNA. The record is from Ensembl. NCBI's taxonomy places the organism in Eukaryota, Metazoa, Chordata, Mammalia, Primates, Cebidae.
GCGGCCGGUGAUGAGGACUUCUCCCACUAUGUUCGAGUUUCCCGACCAUGAGAUGACUCCACAUGCACUACCAUCUGAGGCCAC